RNAcentral lists this transfer RNA (71 nucleotides) under Loxodonta africana (African savanna elephant). It matches the Rfam family "tRNA". From Rfam's summary of the family: Transfer RNA (tRNA) molecules are approximately 80 nucleotides in length. Lineage: Eukaryota; Metazoa; Chordata; Mammalia; Proboscidea; Elephantidae. The record is from Rfam by way of RNAcentral.
GCAUUGGUGGUUCAGUGGUAGAAUUCUUGCUUUCCAUGCAGGAGACCCACGUUCAAUUUCUGGCCAAGGCA